RNAcentral lists this ribosomal RNA (468 nucleotides) under uncultured bacterium. Its description in RNAcentral is "partial 16S ribosomal RNA". It matches the Rfam family "Bacterial small subunit ribosomal RNA", at positions 28 to 507 of the family's 1533-position model. The record is from RNAcentral.
GACGAACGCUGGCGGCGUGCUUAACACAUGCAAGUCGAACGGAAAGGCCCUGCUUUUGUGGGGUGCUCGAGUGGCGAACGGGUGAGUAACACGUGAGUAACCUGCCCUUGACUUUGGGAUAACUUCAGGAAACUGGGGCUAAUACCGGAUAGGAGCUCCUGCUGCAUGGUGGGGGUUGGAAAGUUUCGGCGGUUGGGGAUGGACUCGCGGCUUAUCAGCUUGUUGGUGGGGUAGUGGCUUACCAAGGCUUUGACGGAUAGCCGGCCUGAGAGGGGGACCGGCCACAUUGGGACUGAGAUACGGCCCAGACUCCUACGGGAGGCAGCAGUGGGGAAUAUUGCACAAUGGGCGGAAGCCUGAUGCAGCAACGCCGCGUGCGGGAUGACGGCCUUCGGGUUGUAAACCGCUUUCGCCUGUGACGAAGCGUGAGUGACGGUAAUGGGUAAAGAAGCACCGGCUAACUACGUG